RNAcentral lists this long non-coding RNA (204 nucleotides) under Vigna radiata. RNAcentral describes it as "long non-coding RNA (VRAD_LNC011639)". Lineage: Eukaryota; Viridiplantae; Streptophyta; Magnoliopsida; Fabales; Fabaceae. The record is from RNAcentral.
CCCACACAUCACCACGAGACUUUCCAGUGUGCUUUGUCCUCACUCGCACACUUUCCGGAAAACAUCCCGGAAGGUCACCCAUCCCAAAAUUUCUCCAGGCUAAGCACGCUUAACCAUGGAGUUCUUAUGGGUUAGGCUUCCGAAAAGUAAAUGCAUUUUGGUGAUAUGGGUAGCCAAAUCAAUUCCUUUAAGCUAUCCUUCAAC